AAGUCGUAACAAGGUUUCCGUAGGUGAACCUGCGGAAGGAUCAUUACCACGUAUCCACGUAUCACCCCGUGCACUGUAAACUACCGCCCUGUCCAUUACCCGAGUUAGGAAGGUCGCAAGAAGUUUGAAUGGGGCCGCAAGGCCGCUUCUUGUCACUAUUAUAUACAACUUUAGUAGUGGCCAGGCAAACUCUAUUGCCGAAGUCUCCAUUCAAGAUGGAGGCAAUAGAACCAUAUUAACAAUUUUCACCCCUUUUUUGCUAGUUGGUUUAUCUGUUGUAUGCUUCUCGUGAUUCACUUUCAUUGGACAUACACACGUUUAAUUAUUUGAACGUAAAAUUACAACUCUUAGCAAUGGAUAUCUAGGUUCUC
RNAcentral lists this unclassified non-coding RNA (371 nucleotides) under fungal sp. Its description in RNAcentral is "partial internal transcribed spacer region". The stretch from base 1 to 46 matches the Rfam family "Eukaryotic small subunit ribosomal RNA", at positions 1786 to 1831 of the family's 1831-position model. The record is from RNAcentral. Lineage: Eukaryota; Fungi.